CCAAGGUAUGUAUGGUAUGUAUCAUUGGUGUACUUGGUGAGGGUGGGCCCUGCCCUCAUUGAGGUUGCUGAUGAAGAUACUGAAUGAACUUGGACCCAGCACUGCCAGCA
Molecule: microRNA precursor, 110 nt
Filed under: Gallus gallus (chicken)
Lineage: Eukaryota; Metazoa; Chordata; Aves; Galliformes; Phasianidae
Description: microRNA gga-mir-6680 precursor
Source: miRBase by way of RNAcentral